RNAcentral lists this ribosomal RNA (205 nucleotides) under uncultured bacterium. Its description in RNAcentral is "partial 16S ribosomal RNA". It matches the Rfam family "Bacterial small subunit ribosomal RNA", at positions 568 to 774 of the family's 1533-position model. The record is from RNAcentral.
AGCGCAGACGGUUAUUUAAGUCUGAAGUGAAAGCCCUCAGCUCAACUGAGGAAUGGCUUUGGAAACUGGAUGACUUGAGUGCAGUAGGGGAAAGUGGAACUCCAUGUGUAGCGGUGAAAUGCGUAGAUAUAUGGAAGAACACCAGUGGCGAAGGCGGCUUUCUGGACUGUAACUGACGUUGAGGCUCGAAAGUGUGGUGCAAACA